This 358-nucleotide ribosomal RNA is filed under the name uncultured fungus. RNAcentral describes it as "bacterial SSU rRNA". It matches the Rfam family "Bacterial small subunit ribosomal RNA", at positions 122 to 486 of the family's 1533-position model. Lineage: Eukaryota; Fungi. The record is from RNAcentral.
CGAAUGUCGCCCUUUGGUACGUGAACAAUCUGAUGGGAAACUUCAGAGCUAAUAACUCAGUAUUGUUGCCCUUCGGGGGAACACGAUUAUAUUGCCAUUGGAAGCAGGCCCGCGUUGGAUUACGCUUAGUUCGAGUCGGGGUAAAGGCCCACCAAAGGGCGUACGAUCCAUAGCUGGUCUGAGAGGAUGAUCGAGCCACACUGGGACUGAGACACGGUCCAGACUCAUACGGGAGGCAGCAGUAGGGAAUCUUGCGCAAUGGGCGAAAGCCUGACGCAGCCAUGCCGCGUGCAAUGAUGAAGGUCUUAGGAUUGUAAAAUCCUUUCACCGGGGAAGGAUCAUGACGGUACCCGGGAGA